AUCAACGCUGGCGGCGUGCGUAACACAUGCAAGUCGAACGAGAAAGCGGGGGCAACUCCGUUAGUAAAGUGGCAGACGGGUGAGUAACACGUGAACAAUCUACCUUCGAGCGGGGAAUAACCCCGCGAAAGCGGGGCUAAUACCUCAUGACAUCCCUGGAUCGCAUGGCCUGGGGAUCAAAGGCUUCGGUCGCUCGGAGAGGAGUUCGCGCCUGAUUAGCUAGUUGGUGAGGUAACGGCCCACCAAGGCAACGAUCAGUAGCCGGCCUGAGAGGGCGUACGGCCACACUGGAACUGAGACACGGUCCAGACUCCUACGGGAGGCAGCAGUGGGGAAUUUUGCGCAAUGGGCGAAAGCCUGACGCAGCAACGCCGCGUGGAGGAUGAAGGCCUUCGGGUCGUAAACUCCUGUCAGUGGGGACGAAUGCCGCGCAAGCGGUUUGACUGUACCCGCUGAGGAAGCCACGGCUAACUCCGUGCCAGCAGCCGCGGUAAUACGGAGGUGGCAAGCGUUGUUCGGAAUUAUUGGGCGUAAAGGGCGCGUAGGCGGCUUUGCAAGUCAGAUGUGAAAGCCCCGGGCUUAACUCGGGAAUUGCAUCUGAAACUGCUUAGCUUGAGUCCUGGAGGGGGUAGUGGAAUUCCCAGUGUAGCGGUGAAAUGCGUAGAUAUUGGGAGGAACACCUGCGGCGAAGGCGGCUACCUGGACAGUGACUGACGCUGAGGCGCGAAAGCUAGGGGAGCGAACGGGAUUAGAUACCCCGGUAGUCCUAGCCGUAAACGAUGGGCACUUGGUGUUGGGGGUAUUGAGUCCCCCGGUGCCGGAGUUAACACGUUAAGUGCCCCGCCUGGGGAGUACGGUCGCAAGACUGAA
RNAcentral lists this ribosomal RNA (870 nucleotides) under uncultured bacterium. RNAcentral's name for it is "bacterial SSU rRNA". It matches the Rfam family "Bacterial small subunit ribosomal RNA", at positions 29 to 898 of the family's 1533-position model. The record is from RNAcentral.